GAUCGACAUGGCAUAGGUUGGAAUGGCCUGCACCAUACUCUUAAUCAAGACCUCCUUUCCUGCCUUGCUGGUGUAGCACUUCCUGCACGAUUAGGAUGUUAUCCUGUAUCUGUCUCCCCUGUACGAAGUCACUCUGUUCAGGGUUUUUCACUUUGGGAAUCAAGGCGAUAUAUGUUUGGUUUAGAUGAGGAUCCAAAACACCUGUGUUGAAGAAGCUCUGUA
Long non-coding RNA from Eucalyptus grandis, 222 nucleotides. RefSeq lists it as uncharacterized. Lineage: Eukaryota; Viridiplantae; Streptophyta; Magnoliopsida; Myrtales; Myrtaceae. The record is from RefSeq and is a predicted model, not a curated record. The transcript is spliced from 3 exons.